UACGUAGGGGGCAAGCGUUGUCCGGAUUUAUUGGGCGUAAAAGGCUUGUAGGUGGCCACGCCAAGUCGGAUGUGAAAUCUCCCGGCUCAACUGGGAGGGGUCAUUCGAUACUGCCGGGCUAGAGUCCGGAAGAGGCGAGUGGAAUUCCUGGUGUAGCGGUGGAAUGCGCAGAUAUCAGGAGGAACACCAACGGCGAAGGCAGCUCGCUGGGACGGUACUGACGCUGAGGCGCGAAAGCGUGGGGAGCGAACAGG
This 254-nucleotide ribosomal RNA is filed under the name uncultured bacterium. RNAcentral describes it as "partial 16S ribosomal RNA". It matches the Rfam family "Bacterial small subunit ribosomal RNA", at positions 524 to 776 of the family's 1533-position model. The record is from RNAcentral.